Long non-coding RNA from Larimichthys crocea (large yellow croaker), 1336 nucleotides. RefSeq lists it as uncharacterized. The record is from RefSeq and is a predicted model, not a curated record. The transcript is spliced from 4 exons. NCBI's taxonomy places the organism in Eukaryota, Metazoa, Chordata, Actinopteri, Sciaenidae.
UAAAAUACUACUAAUAAUAAUAAUAAUAAUUUAUUUGGUUUAAUAAAAGUCACGUCAUUCACAUUCAGGUGUUCUGCCUGUAAGUAGACCUGACAGAGUUGAGAAGUGCAUACUGUUGUGCCCCCUGCACCUGGUCUGCUUGCACAUGCGCAGUGGAAAUCUGCCGGUACUUUGGAGGCGGCGGAUUUGAAUGGGCCAAUCAGCUCGCUGCAUCUGAGGACCCGUCGGACUGAGUUUGUACAGAGAGACUUCUCAUCCACCCUUAUCCAUCAGAGCUGCUCUCUUUCUCAGGUCAUGAAGAUGCUCAGAGUGCUGCAAGUGCUACCACACAAGAAUCCAGUGUGCCAGAUGCAGAAGACACAGUCACAGGCGGACCAAAAGAGGUUGAGAUGGAGGCUGUGCCAGCAACAACCUGCCUUAUUGUGUGUGGGUCCUCUUGCUUCACUGCUGACUGCUUCAUGUUGAGCAUUGAUCAGAAGAUUGUCAACGACCACAUCACUGCCUUCCCCUGUGCCAUCUGCCUCAUGUUUGGCAGUUACUAUUGCUUCAAUAUACACUGCCCAGUGGGACUGCGAUCAACACUGGAGUUCCUCCGGAGGUGUUUCUUUUCAAUAAAUCCGGAGAGAGGAACGAAAGUUGAGCACAGCAAAAGGAGGAUGUCUUUGCUGUGAACCCAGGAGUCCUCACACUCAUCGCUGACCUUGCAGACCAUGAGUGGACUUUAGUGGACCAUACUUCGUGAGUCAUGUGAUGUGAGGUGUAAUGUUGUUGUAAUGUUGCAGUAUGUAUGAGUGUACACAGUGUAAGAUGUGUACACUUUUUCCAUCUUCAUGUACAGCCUUGCAAAUGAGGUGAGGUGGUUGUUUAUGUUGGAGACUUUUUUUUAUAUGUGUGUAUAUAUAAAUAGCAGAUAACACUGAUAACACAAACAAAAAGCAGGGUUCUGGUUUUAUGCUGCACCACUGUCACAGCUUAAUGAACCUGUGGUGAUUUUACUGUUACAAGUUAAAAGAUCUGAACAGCAAGAACAGUCAGUAGCAUUUUAGCUUUUACUUGCUAUUUCAGAAAAGAUAUAGUGCUGCCCACAUCUGUUAGAAAGUUCUUAUUACUGUGCAUUUAUGUCAAUUUCAUGUAGCAUGUUCUGUGUAUUCGGUGUGUACACAGUGUUGUGAUAAGUUUGUACAGCCUCACAAGUGUUCAUUAAAUGAAAAAUUACAAUGAAAAAGUUUGGUUUUUGGAUGUUUUAUGUACAAUGUGCUUAUAGUUUCCCAUGUUUUCACCAUUAGACAAAAAUGGUAACUUAUUGUUUUUCUGCUCUAAUCGAUUGACAAUUUUA